Molecule: non-coding RNA, 9025 nt
Organism: Anas platyrhynchos (mallard)
Lineage: Eukaryota; Metazoa; Chordata; Aves; Anseriformes; Anatidae
Source: RefSeq, a predicted model, not a curated record
CCAUAAAGUGAUGGCUGUGAUGUCGGCUGAGGAGUUAUUGCAAGGAGCUCUCGCUGCUUGUAGCCCUAGAUGCAGAACUGGAGACCGAGCCUCCUUUCCCCAAGCAGGGAAGAAUGUUUUCAUUACUAUGGUAAUUCAGUCUGUCCUGUGAUAGUGAUACUUUAAUUGCUCCUCUGUUUUCCUCAGACAUAAUCCAAUUCCCUUUGGCCUCCUAGUUUAUCCACACAUUAAUUGGGUUAUUGCCUUGGAAAACAGAAGGGCAAAUAUAUCGCUUAAGUUUUAUCACAGACAAUUAAUAAGCAUGACUGAGAUUUUUAAAGUGCCCUAAUGCAAUUAGGUGUCGGGCUCCCAGGAGUUUCAGUGGGAUCUGGGUGCCUCCUUCCAUGACACAAAAUUGGAAAUUCACAUCCCAGGUGCAUAAGGAAAACUGUAUUUCUUUCCCAUGUAUUGAACACUUCAGAGAUUCUCCUUUUCAACCUGAAUUCCUGAUUCUGCAGUCUUUAAUCUUGUAAAUCUGGUUUAUGAUUUAACUUAGCAAAAUUCCUUUUGAUUUUCUUGAUUAAGGAUCGCAGGGUCAAAGCCUUUGAAGUACAACUGAAGGCAUCAAAGCAUAAAGAAGGGGGACUGGGGAACUGGUAAUGGGACAAACAGCUUUUCUCAGUCAGGACUAAAGUCCAUGUUGGAAGUGACUCCACGCUUGCUCAGCCUUGUGGCUGUGGGACAAGAGACCAUGCCUGGAGAUCUACUGGGGGGCUGAGUGACAGCCUUGUUCAGCAAACCCCAAAAGCCCCGAAGCUGUGCCAUGUCCCAUAUGCUGUCCGCUGGAGCAACAAGGAACAAAUCACCACCACUGCUGCAGAGCCUUCGUAAAGGGAAUGCGUGUGUUGAACUAAGCCCUCUGUUGUUAUUUAUUUGGGGUGUGAAUCAACCAGCACAAAAGCCAAUAGAGCGUGAUCAAAUGAUGCAUACUAGCGAUAAGAAUAUAUUAAGUCACGCAAUAUCUCUUCCAUACCAGUAGAAAUAUUGCAACCAUGCCCUACCCAUGUUGUGUCUGUGUGGCAGCAACAAUGAAUUUUCUUUGAGCUAGCAAGGCAGAAACAAGAGCUGCCGAAGCUCCACGCGCCUUGUACUCGCUCUUCCUAUAAAACUUGCAGUGAAUAAAACUGACAGGGAUCACUUUGCUUUAAGUGGUUUUCAGAUAAAAACGCUUUCCACCCAACCUUACGUACUCCAGGUAUUAUAAUGGCUAGAGAAAAGGAUACGUUUCAUGGAGCAUUUGGGGAGUUGCUAAAAUUGAAGCUGAGAGCUGGGGCCGGGUACUCCUGCAGCAUCGCUUGGGCAGGGAGUGAAGGAAGACGCAGGGCUGAGCUGGGUCCGUGGGCACGACUUUGGUGAAUGCCGGGCAAGAUGUGUGUAAAUGCACUGCUAGAUUACUGUGAGAGUUUCCCUUGACCUGUAUUUACCACGUUGUACGUAGUAAACCUUUUUUGGGGGAGAAGCAAGUCCCUCACACUAAAGGUUCAGGAACGUGCCAGGACGGCGUGCUGCCCUGCGCCCAUCCCAUGGAGGGUCUUCACUUCUCAUCCCAACGAGGCUGGCGUUGGCUGCUGUAGGAUAUGGGUUUGGUUAAACCAUGAAAACCCAAACUAAAGAAAGAGUUGGGUUUAGUCCAAAAUUAUUUUCUUUAUUGGAACCUGUCUCAUGUCAAGUAAUUUAUGGGUUUCAAAUCAGUACCGAGUAUGUGAAUCUGGGCUUUUCUUGAAGUACCAUGUUACAAACCUUGAUGGAUGGAGAAACAGUGAGCUUACCGGUCCACUUGGCUGCUUCAUGGAGCCGGGCAAAGCAUUCGCUUUGGUCUCUGACUCUUCCAUGGGAAUGCAAGUUGCUGUGACCAUCAUAAAUAUCAUACUGAAAUCUACAGACAUGCUUGGUGUGUUGUCUGCAGUUCUUCCACUUCCAGGAAACACCUUUAAAUUAAAGAGAAAAACUCUGUGUAAUUAAACAAAGCAAAAUGCUGUGGUGGGGGAUGUGGCAUCCAGCUGUGACCGUGCUAAAUACUGAUGUUUCCCUUCUCCCAGAACAAAUUAAAGGAGUCACAGUCUUGUUGCAGCUCAGCGAGGGGUUUCCCAAGAUCACUUUACCGCUUCACCAUCACCACUGCUGGCUGCGUUCAGCUUGUACAGAGGGAAGUUCAGCUGCCUGGGCUGUACUCGUGGAGCACCUGAACCAGCUUGGGAGCACCUGAACCAGCAAGGAGCUGGAAUGGAGCCGUGCCAGUGUGUCUGGGAGCUCGGGCUGAGCCCUUCCAGGGCAUCGCUCUUCCUGCUGGAGGCCUGACGGUGCUUGUGCCGCUACUCAGCUGCCUUCCGAAGCCACCAGUUUGUAGGACCGAGCGGGAUUUCGUAGGUUUUUGUGGUCCGUAGUUGUGAUGUUCGUGUGGGGCGUCCAAUGUAAAAGCAGGCAAGGAACAGAAUCAUCCACUCGAGGAUCUCAGCGCUUUGGAGUCUGCCUACAUGUUGUGAAGAGCAAAGAGCCGCCGUCACUGCCUCUCUUCGGCCUCCUGCAGGUCCCUUUAGGUCUGUGACUAUUUUGGCCUCUGCGCCCAUGCACUUUUCCCCCUUGGACUGCUGAUGGCAGAAGAAGAAGGGUAACUUUCCUUUCGGCUCCUGAGCAAGCAGCAGGGCUUAUUGCCGAUGGUGGCACCGAGCAGCACACGAGGUGCACCCCGGCUGCUUCAGGGCUGCUUCUUAUCUCCCCUUCCAGCUCCGUACGGCCGCUUUACGGACAGCCGAAGGGAACACGAAAUGCUUCAUCUGCAGCAGUCCUGAGGCAGCGGGACGUCGAGUGGCUCGAGGUUACAGGGGUGAUAGAGUGGCCGAGGGCGAUCGGGGUGUGAGUCCCAGCGGGGUCUGAGCGGUGCCGCCAGCGCUGCUGCUGCUCGCCUGGGAGCAGCGCCGGCAGCGACGGCCGCCGUUCGCUGACAUCCUGCCAGCAUCUGCUGCUGGAAAACACGUCUCGUGUCCAGCCCGCUUGACCCCCUGUCGGAGUAACUUGUUUUGCCAUUUGUCACUGCCAAAUGUUUCUUUAUUCCGCCUCAGUCACUUGGUUUGCCACUCAUUUGACUCCCUGCAUAAUUAACUUUGCCAGCCAAUUGACUCGCUGUGUAAUUAUCUUUGCCAGUCACUUUGGUCUCGGCGUAUUAAUCACGGUGUCUAACGGGCCUCGGGGCAGGCUGCAGCACCGGGAUGGCAGCAGGUGCCGGCCCUGGCGCCCGCGGGUGCUGCCGGGCUUGGGGGGAAGAGCCCCAGGGCUGCCCAUGUGGCCGGGGCAGCUGCGGGGCCGUGCCGCCACGUGCUGCUUCUCCUCCCUGACCCGAAUUUAACUCCACUUCCCAGCAGUGCCUCCCUCCGGCCCUGCCCCCCCUUGUUUAAUUGCUCUUGUUUCAUUAUCGUGUCCGUCCGCCUUUGUCAGCUCCUCUGAUAACGCUCCACGUGCGCUCCACCGCGCUCCCUCUGCGGACCGAGCGCAGCCCACCUGCAAGGCGUCCACAAAUUCUUUGUUCGACUUCAACCGAGGGGCUGUUUGUGCAGGAUGCCUCAGAAAAAUCGUCUGACUUAGAGUGACAAGUGUGAAGAGCAGUUGCAGACAGUUUAUACAUCCUCCUCAUGGAAAAUAAACCCGUUAGUGUACGCCAUAUGCUACAACGAAGUGGCUCGUGGCCACGCAGCUGAAACGCCCGAGCCUUUCCUUGACUCUUUGUCUGCUCGUCUAUUUAUCUUCCGAGCAGGAGCCCCGACCAGCUGACACUUCUCCUUCUGUCCUGUUUGCCAAAUAGCUGUGGACUUUUUAAAUAACGUAGACAAAAGGGCUGAAUGUUAUCAGGAAUAAAUAACGUAAUGCCCAGAUUUAUCAUUUAAUCGCAGAAUAAUGUACUUGGAAAAUGAGUUUGCCUGCCCACCAUUCAGAGUGGUUUGUUUUCCUCCUUUGGCACACUUUGCCUUUAAAAUCUUCCUCGUCUGUGCUUUGUUCUGCUGCUUCUGCCCAACUUCAGCCCUAGCCCCUUUAUCGCUUAAUGAAAUUUUGCACAACUUCGUUCCCUGUUGGAUACACUUCAGCUCUAAAAAUACAAUCCAGCACCAAAACUAUGGAGACUUCCAAUCUAAUUUUCCCUGGUAGUGUUUUCUAGUUUGACUGGACAGAUACAACCUAUUGCUAGGAUUUUGGCCUCUCUGUAUCCUUUUAUAUUGACUGGUUAUUUCAUAGUCCAGUUACCCUCGUUGCUUAGAGGACCUAUAACAAACUCUUCUAAAGAGCUGUUUAACACCUCCCACUGCUCGAUAUUUUCCAUGUGAAUGUAACCAACAAUGUCUUAUUUAUCCAAAGUGUCAAGGAAGAUAAAUCCCCAGGCGUAUCAGUUAUAAUGACAUGAGUCUAUCCUGUGCAAUGGAGCGUGUUAUUUCACCAAAUUUUGGCGGAGGAAGCCCCACGACAGGAGCCUGGCAGCUUGUGUGGUUCGGAUGGCACCGGUGCCAGCCUGCAUGGAUGGGGCUGUGCUGCGAUGCUCAGCACAGGCUUGCCCCCAGCUCGACCAUGGGUCGACGUGGCACGGCGCUGGGAAUGACCGGUGUGAGUCUUUUGUUCGUGCGGAGAGGAGGCAAGUGUUCCCCCGCCUCCCAGCUCGUCUUUUGGUCUCCAGCUUUUACGUUCUCUCAUGUGUUCCUUGGAGAGCCUGAAUUAUUGUUGGUAGUGGUUUUGUUUUGCAAGAGUCCGAGCUCUUUGGCUGACUAACGUAGACAAAUCAUCUGUCCUGGCUUGGGUUUCCCAUAACUUCCGCAUAACAAAAGGAGAAGGAGUGAUCCCAUCUCAGCUGUCCUGCGCUCUCACGCCUGCACUUCGCUCUGGGGCGAGAUAAGGUUGCUCUGCUGGGAGGAGAUCUGAAGUGCACAAUCUGGAGUUUUUCUUCAGAUAUUUAAUAACUUUUUCUUCAGAAAAAGGAGUUCGUGUGUGAAGUACAACUGCUGGUGUGCUGGGUUUUGUUGUUUUUGCUGAAGUGUCUCUGCUCGGCCUCUCCCAGCAGCUCUGAGCUGCAGCAAACCCACUCGGCAGGGCAGCGAGGGCUGGUUCUGGCUGGUGGGGGCCGUGGGGCUGCUGAAACGCCAUUUCUGCACAGGAAGUGACAGGUCUGGGCUGGAUUCCUCGGCCUGACAUUUAAGAGCAAGUAUCCGUGGUGGUUUGGCUGGGGUUGUUGUUUUGGACAAGGCUCAGGUCAGUGGGGAUGUGCUAACGCAGCCUGGUGUGCAGCCUGCGCUCUCGGGGAGCAUCUGGGGAGAAGGGGACAGCUUUGCAUUUUUCCCAGGUCAGUUCCUGCCUUUUUGGACAAAAAGACUCUAUGCACGGGGAACUUUGGCAGAGAGGAGAAAGAAACACAGUCCUCGCAAAGAGCUCUAGCUAAAGAUUAACCUUGCUGACUAAUUGAAUGCUGGCAAUGAAAGAUGUUAAAACAAAUACACUAGAGAAAUGGUCUGGGUUUUUUUUCUUCUCUCCAUCUGCUGAUGGAAGGCUGUCUUGCCACCUGUCUGGGACAGCAUCUUUGGAUAUUAAAUAAACCCGGUCUCCUUCUGUGAUACAGUACAGAGAAGUUAAUUCGGCUCUAUUAGAGAAAUCUGCAACGUAAAGCAAGCCAGUAACAGCGCUGAGUGUCCUUCAAGUAUUUCACACCCACCCAGUACACGGAGAUAACAAUGUUUACUAUCGCUUGUAAGUGCAGCUCUGUGGAUGACCAAACCAGAAAGUAAUGAAAUGCAGCUGUCUGCAGUUCUGUUUUCUCCUGUAUUUGUUCAUCUUUCUGUAAAAGAGCCUAAGGUCUGCGAUCCCCUCCUGUGGGAAAAGCAGGAGCAGGUUCCCUGCCUGGGGAGCUCUGGGGGCACGGAGAGCUGCUGCCAGCAGAUUUCAGCCUCUGCGAAGGAGUAGGUUGGUUGGGGGAUCCUAGUUUAGCCUCUGUACUGUUGUCUGAACCUCUGAAACAUCCCUCUAGGAAAAAAUGUUACCCUAAGUGGUCCCACACUCCAAACUCGGUGCAAGAUCCCUCGAGCAGAGCUGAUGUGCAGUGAUGAUGGAUUCCCUGAAACAUGGGAGGAAAAAGAGGCAACGGAGGAGGAAGGGGGACAGGGAUGCUGAUAGAAAUUGCUGGCCUUUUCAGACCUCUCUCUAUUAUUGCAAAGAUGAGCUUGCUAUAAACUCCUCAAUAGACAGCCAGCAGCUGAGAUGCGAGAGAAUGGGGCCUAAGACAGUUUUCUAUUAUCUGGGAGAUUUCUGUCUUAAUAGAAGCUUUCAGAGGCAGCACAAGAGUUGAGCUAUAAAAUUAUGCCCCCGUAGGAACAGUGUGUUCUGAUAGAAAAGGCAAAUAAAUUGUUGAUAUUGGACACAUGCAGCAUUGCUCUGCUGGUUCUGAAGUCGCACAGACUACACUGCAGAUAGCAAGCCUAAAUGUCUGCUGUGACAAAACUCCGAAUCGCGGUCUGUUUUCACUAAGAAAAUACUUUGUCCCUGUGGGGGGAGACCUGUUCAAGGUGACUGCUCUGCCCAUCCUGCAGGGAGUUUUCUUCUCCUCUGUACCACUGAGCAGCAGCCCUUUCUACUCUUGCACACCCAUUUUUCUUGUAAUUUUUCUUUUGACAGUAUCUAUUAUCUCAACCCGUAAGUGUGAAAUUAAUGUUUACAUAAUUCGAACCAGUUAAAGCUAAUUAAAGCAAACUGUCGCCUUCCACUUUGGGCUGCAAUGGAGAACAGCCCGUGGCCAGCACACCUGCGUCCACCCACCUGCUGUCACACAGCAGCAUUAAAUGCCACCAAAGCAUAACGCCAGGUUAGCUGAGGCUCCUCAGUGCCCUGGGCCCUGUAAUUUCAGUUGUCUGGGCUGAACUCUGCAUUCAGAGUGGUUUUUUAGGCCUGAGGUCUAUGACAUAGAUCCUGCACUACUUUAUUUACCUUACUACUUUCUUUACUCACCACUUCUGGGUGGUGCCUCCUUCAGGGAUGCCAGCCACAGCUUCCAUUAUUGGCUGCACCGUUGAUCAUAAUUCUGCUUUAUUUCCUUUCCUGCCAAUGGCAAUCACAUCGGAGCAAUGGAUUAUUUACCUCCUUUCAGUUUAAAUAUGAUCUAUAUAUUUCAGCCCUGCUUAAUAGCUCUCACAUUAACGGUGUGUUUCUGUUUGAGGAUUUUAAUUGAAUGUAUGUUCCAAUAAUUCCUACAACAAUAUUUAUUUUUCUGCCAAAAAAAGGUAAUUCAAUAAAGAGCCUGGCUUCACACUUUAUGGCUUUCUAAAGAGAAAGAAUCUAAUGAACAAUUUUUACUGUUACGCUUUUCUCCCUCUGACUUUUUUUUUUUUAAAGAAAAAUCUGCAAUUAAGGAAGUGUAAUUACUUUUCACCUUGUCUUCUGUUUGCUUUUUGCAUUCCACUUUUCCCGUGCUUGGAUAUGAAUCAUGCUUUACCUCACGACGGGAGAGCCAGGAGCCAGCAUGGGUGUGCUGCUUGUUCUGUGUCUGGUCGGUAUUUUUGGGAGACAUUCGGCUGCUGUAAAUCAGCAAAGGAGUCAAUGAAACCGAGUCGGUUGAAACAAGUGGUGGAUGUGACCCUUGGUCGUCUGUAAGGGAAGGUCCUUGGCCCUACCCCCUUUAAAAAAAUCUGACUUAAAACAAAAAAAAAAAACAAGACUGUCAGUCAAACAUACUAUUUCUUCUCUUGGCGAGGGUUUGCUCUUUGAGGCUUUUUUCCUCCUCGUAGGAAUGCAGGUGAUAGAAUUCAGAUAAAAACCCGAUAGCUAGGAAAGACCCUUCAGCAAAAUAUUUGUCCAGUAGUGUUACAACUUGCCCCUGGAUAAUGAGUUAGAUCACCUUUAUCAUUUUCUUGCAACUCUCACACAAUUAAGCAGCCAACUCCGGCAUUCACCGAAACUUUCUGAUGAUUAUCAGCCUAAAUCUGCUCCCACUGACGAUAAAUUUUACACUGGUGGAGGAGUGGGCUUUGGCCUGUCUCUGGGAGGUUGCCUGCCUACUUUCGGUGCUCCUUUUGAAACCUCCUGCCCUAUCAAUGGAGCAACAACUUUGUAGGCUCAGCUGAGCUUUCCCUUGAACCUGCUCUCUAAUUAACCACUGCUUUAAGUUCUUAUCAGCAGAUUAGCUUGCUGCAGAAACAUCCAGCAUUUCCAUAGCUUCUCAAGUCACAUAGGAACGCGGCUUCUGUCAUCUUGCCACAACCUUGGUGUUGCUCAUCAUGUCAGCUGAAGUCUUAGAAGUUUUCCAGACCUUUUAAUCUUUGCUUCUCGCUUAAUGCUGUUCCUUUCAAAUAGAUGUCAUUCCACCCACAGUUUGCCCCGUGGGGAUCUAAAGCAAGCUGGGUUGAGCAAAGCCCCAUUUCACACACCAAGGAGAGCACGAGAAAGAUAAGGGUCUAAAUAUAAGCUUCUGUUUAGGAGGGCAAUAAAGCCUGCACUUAAUCCAUUCCUGUUGUAAUAAUUGGUGUUACGAGAGCUAGAGAAACUCCAGCCUAUUUGUACUCGAUGUAGUACAAAUAUGUUACGAAAAAGAAUUGUUGUGUCCUGAAAGACUGCAUAGCAAAGGAAGAAUAAAGUCAGCAGGGAGAGCCGAGCAGCAGCCGGGAGCACGGGAAACAUGACAAAACUUUUAUCUACAGAGGAGCUCACUGGCCAAAACAAAUUACCUGCUGAACAGUGCUGUGAUUUCUGUGGGCACUGUGGCAUAUCCUCAGCCCAGAGCACAUGUUGAAGUCUAAUUGAAGAAAUUAAAGUUCAGUGUGUUUCAGUGCUCUGCUGAAUCAGGUCCGUAGUGCUGCCACCAGCCAGUUCCACACUGGAUGGAGAUGAGCUAACGUGGCUGAUACCAUGAAGUUCCUUAGCGGCUCCCAAAUUGGGUACGUUGUGUCCUGCCAGAAGAACUGAAGCCCCUUUCUGUACUCUGCUUUUCAGCUCCGAUUAAACCAUCUCAACAUACAUUCCCGAGGCCACU